AACAAGGCGUACCUGCGGACCUGCGGAAGGAUCAUUACUGAGUGAGGGCCUUCGGGCUCGACCUCCAACCCUUUGUGAACACAACUUGUUGCUUCGGGGGCGACCCUGCCGUUUCGACGGCGAGCGCCCCCGGAGGCCUUCAAACACUGCAUCUUUGCGUCGGAGUUUAAGUAAAUUAAACAAAACUUUCAGCAACGGAUCU
This 202-nucleotide unclassified non-coding RNA is filed under the name soil metagenome. RNAcentral's name for it is "partial contains 5.8S ribosomal RNA, internal transcribed spacer 2, and large subunit ribosomal RNA". The record is from RNAcentral.